This 336-nucleotide unclassified non-coding RNA is filed under the name soil metagenome. RNAcentral's name for it is "partial contains 5.8S ribosomal RNA, internal transcribed spacer 2, and large subunit ribosomal RNA". The stretch from base 1 to 120 matches the Rfam family "5.8S ribosomal RNA", at positions 35 to 154 of the family's 154-position model. The record is from RNAcentral.
GAUGAAGAACGUAGUGAAAUGCGAUAAGUAAUGUGAAUUGCAGAAUUCCGUGAAUCAUCGAAUCUUUGAACGCACAUUGCGCCCCCUGGUAUUCCGGGGGGCAUGCCUGUCCGAGCGUCAUUGCAACCUUCAAGCGCGGCUUGUGUGUUGGGUCUCGUCCCCCGUGGACGGGCCCGAAAGGCAGUGGCGGCGUCCCGACAUGGUGCCCGAGCGUAUGGGAAUCCUCUUCCGCUCGAAUCGGCCCAUGCGGCGCUGGUCGUAACCAAAUUUUUUACCGGUUGACCUCGGAUCAGGUAGGGAUACCCGCUGAACUUAAGCAUAUCAAUAAGCGGAGGA